AUUGAACGCUGGCGGCAGGCCUAACACAUGCGAGUCGAACGGUAACAGGAAGAAGCUUGCUUCUUUGCUGACGAGUGGCGGACGGGUGAGUAAUGUCUGGGAAACUGCCUGAUGGAGGGGGAUAACUACUGGAAACGGUAGCUAAUACCGCAUAACGUCGCAAGACCAAAGAGGGGGACCUUCGGGCCUCUUGCCAUCGGAUGUGCCCAGAUGGGAUUAGCUAGUAGGUGGGGUAACGGCUCACCUAGGCGACGAUCCCUAGCUGGUCUGAGAGGAUGACCAGCCACACUGGAACUGAGACACGGACCAGACUCCUACGGGAGGCAGCAGUGGGGAAUAUUGCACAAUGGGCGCAAGCCUGAUGCAGCCAUGCCGCGUGUAUGAAGAAGGCCUUCGGGUUGUAAAGUACUUUCAGCGGGGAGGAAGGGAGUAAAGUUAAUACCUUUGCUCAUUGACGUUACCCGCAGAAGAAGCACCGGCUAACUCCGUG
Molecule: ribosomal RNA, 490 nt
Filed under: uncultured bacterium
Lineage: Bacteria
Description: partial 16S ribosomal RNA
Rfam family: Bacterial small subunit ribosomal RNA
Source: RNAcentral